RNAcentral lists this ribosomal RNA (467 nucleotides) under uncultured bacterium. RNAcentral's name for it is "partial 16S ribosomal RNA". It matches the Rfam family "Bacterial small subunit ribosomal RNA", at positions 38 to 506 of the family's 1533-position model. The record is from RNAcentral.
GGGGGGGGGGGGGGGGGGGGGGGGGGGGGGGGGGGCGGGCGGGAGGGGCGGGCUGUGGUGGGGGGGUCGGGUGGCGAACGGGUGAGUGACACGUGAGUAACCUGCCCUUGACUUUGGGAUAGCUUCAGGAGACUGGGGCUAAUACCGGAUAGGAGCUCCUGCUGCAUGGUGGGGGUUGGACAGUUUCGGCGGUUGGGGAUGGACUCGCGGCUUAUCAGCUUGUUGGUGGUGUAGUGGCUUACCAAGGCUUUGACGGGUAGCCGGCCUGAGAGGGUGACCGGCCACAUUGGGACUGAGAUACGGCCCAGACUCCUACGGGAGGCAGCAGUGGGGAAUAUUGCACAAUGGGCGGAAGCCUGAUGCAGCAACGCCGCGUGCGGGAUGACGGCCUUCGGGUUGUAAACCGCUUUCGCCUGUGACGAAGCGUGAGUGACGGUAAUGGGUAAAGAAGCACCGGCUAACUACGG